CGACCCCAAAUUUUUUGGAUAAAGACUUAGUUGAGUUCAGUUGAGUUGAGUUACUGACUUAAGCAUUGGGAGGUCGCCUAAACCAACCACCAGUGUUCUUGAUUCUUGAUGGUUUUGCAGAUCUAUACAUGUAGAGAUAUCUUGUUGAGAAUCAAUAAGCAACAUUAGCGUUAAUUUCAUGACUCUACAAAAGAAAUACAUAGAAGUUUCUAAAAGUCAAAACAAAAAAUAUGUUGACAGAAGCCUACUCACCCGUUGGUAUUUGCGCAUUGAACUGCAGUGAAAAACAGCAAGAUGAUGCAUAAAAAUGCAAAUGCAACGCAUCUACAUAUCACACACAAUAAACACACACCCCACUCACAUUGCUUAGCACUUAAUAAGUUCCAUUAGAGAAUUAAUACUCAAGUUCAGGAUAUCAGUUAGUAGCCCAAAAGGGUAUAAACACAGAUACGUAAGUAUGCAAUUUCACAAUGUAUUAACCCACCAGUCCCUAGAAGGAAGCUAUUCAACUUCAAGACGUAAUUGGAAUCAAGUUGCUGCCCUUUCUAACAAUAUCAAACAAAAGUAGGAGCUUUCCGGAUCCGUAAUUUAUAUCAUUAAAGAUGCUCUUUUGAUCCAUCAAAAGAAUUUCGCUAAUUUCAACCUCUUCUCUUCUCAUUAAUCAACAUAAACAAACUUGCAAUUAUAUAACAAAAACUCGUCAGCAUAUCUGAUAGUUUUUGGUGUUUUUCUUGGCAAUCCCUUCAACAUAAUCCAGCUCUUCAUACAGGUCUGUAUUGAGUGCCUCAAGUACAAGACGCCUGAAAUGCCAAACAGUG
This 818-nucleotide unclassified non-coding RNA is filed under the name Hevea brasiliensis (rubber tree). The record is from RNAcentral. Lineage: Eukaryota; Viridiplantae; Streptophyta; Magnoliopsida; Malpighiales; Euphorbiaceae.